Molecule: ribosomal RNA, 119 nt
Filed under: Arabis alpina (gray rockcress)
Lineage: Eukaryota; Viridiplantae; Streptophyta; Magnoliopsida; Brassicales; Brassicaceae
Description: rRNA ENSRNAG00050208021
Source: RNAcentral
GGGGUGCAACACGAGGACUUCCCAGGAGGUCACCCAUCCUAGUACUACUCUCGCCCAAGCGCGCUUAACUGCAAAGUUCUGAUGGGAUCCGGUGCAUUAGUGCUGGUAUGAUCGCACCC